RNAcentral lists this ribosomal RNA (441 nucleotides) under uncultured bacterium. RNAcentral describes it as "partial 16S ribosomal RNA". It matches the Rfam family "Bacterial small subunit ribosomal RNA", at positions 339 to 795 of the family's 1533-position model. The record is from RNAcentral.
CUACGGGUGGCUCCAGUGAGGAAUCUUGGACAAUGGGCGAAAGCCUGAUCCAGCGACGCCGCGUGGGUGACGAAGGCCUUCGGGUUGUAAAGCCCUGUCAGAGGGGAAGAAGUUCCGACGGUACCCUCAGAGGAAGCACAGGCUAACUCCGUGCCAGCAGCCGCGGUAAUACGGAGUGUGCAAGCGUUGCUCGGAAUCACUGGGCGUAAAGGGCGCGUAGGCGGCUUGGUAAGUUGGAUGUGAAAGCCCUCGGCUCAACCGAGGAACUGCAUCCAAAACUGCCUGGCUAGAGUACGGAAGAGGAAGGCGGAAUUCCCAGUGUAGGGGUGAUAUCCGUAGAUAUUGGGAAGAACACCAGUGGCGAAGGCGGCCUUCUGGGACGAUACUGACGCUGAGGCGCGAAAGCGUGGGGAGCAAACAGGAUUAGAUACCCCUGUAGUC